RNAcentral lists this ribosomal RNA (253 nucleotides) under uncultured bacterium. RNAcentral's name for it is "partial 16S ribosomal RNA". It matches the Rfam family "Bacterial small subunit ribosomal RNA", at positions 524 to 776 of the family's 1533-position model. The record is from RNAcentral.
UACGGGGGGAGCAAGCGUUGUUCGGAUUUACUGGGCGUAAAGCGUGCGCAGGCGGUUAUGUAAGACAGGUGUGAAAUCCCCGGGCUUAACCUGGGAACUGCAUUUGUGACUGCAUAGCUAGAGUACGGUAGAGGGGGAUGGAAUUCCGCGUGUAGCAGUGAAAUGCGUAGAUAUGCGGAGGAACACCGAUGGCGAAGGCAAUCCCCUGGACCUGUACUGACGCUCAUGCACGAAAGCGUGGGGAGCAAACAGG